UGUGAACACUACCUAACUCAAAAGUAUGUCACUUUACAGGAGCUAUAGCCUCCUAGACUCUGUUGUGAACUGAGGGUGUCGUUACGAGACUGAACUAUAGUUUCCAUCACUAGAAAAUGCCUCUGAGGAAAAGACCGUCAGCGCCCCGCCCCUCCCUGCUUGAUGGUUGGCCCCUCCAAUUUAUGACCUCUCCGCCACUUACUUUCUGGGAAGGAGCUUCAGAGAAUCCAGACCAUAAUCCAGCUUUAUGUUGACCACAGAUGGAGUAGAAAACAACAGAGGAGUGGAGAUGGUGUAGCAAAGGUGAGUGAUUUUCACUCCUGUUGUGUCUGUGAUGUAAUCAGACAAGUGGAGCUGUUAUGUGGUCCCGAUUAUGCAAUUACAAACACACACGCAUACACGUCGAAGCACACACAACUUUUUACCCUUUCAUUACACCCACUCUUCCAAACAUAUUCCUUUGACACACAUCCUCCUUUCAGCAUCUGCAGACGAUGAUACAUGUGGUGUUUUGAGAGGUUAGUGUGCGUGAUGGUGGAUGUAAGUCACAGUGGGAUCCUUCUUCCACUACAUCACAGAACAACACUCUGUCGAGCAGGCCAUCCAUCACUACAGCUGUGGUUUAUGUACACACAGCAGGUCAUGCUGGUCCUCUGUCCAGACCCGAUGCAGAGCUCUUGAUUAUCCAUUCGCAUUAAGAG
Molecule: long non-coding RNA, 701 nt
Organism: Sebastes umbrosus (honeycomb rockfish)
Lineage: Eukaryota; Metazoa; Chordata; Actinopteri; Perciformes; Sebastidae
Exons: 4
Source: RefSeq, a predicted model, not a curated record